This 468-nucleotide ribosomal RNA is filed under the name uncultured bacterium. RNAcentral's name for it is "partial 16S ribosomal RNA". It matches the Rfam family "Bacterial small subunit ribosomal RNA", at positions 28 to 507 of the family's 1533-position model. The record is from RNAcentral.
GACGAACGCUGGCGGCGUGCUUAACACAUGCAAGUCGAACGGAAAGGCCCUGCUUUUGUGGGGUGCUCGAGUGGCGAACGGGUGAGUAACACGUGAGUAACCUGCCCUUGACUUUGGGAUAACUUCAGGAAACUGGGGCUAAUACCGGAUAGGAGCUCCUGCUGCAUGGUGGGGGGUGGAAAGUUUCGGCGGUUGGGGAUGGACUCGCGGCUUAUCAGCUUGUUGGUGGGGUAGUGGCUUACCAAGGCGUUGACGGGUAGCCGGCCUGAGAGGGUGACCGGCCACAUUGGGACUGAGAUACGGCCGCGACUCCUCCGGGAGGCAGCAGUGGGGAAUAUUGCACCAUGGGCGGAGGCCUGAUGCAGCAACGCCGCGUGCGGGAUGACGGCCUUCGGGUUGUAAACCGCUUUCGCCUGUGACGAAGCGUGAGUGACGGUAAUGGGUAAAGAAGCACCGGCUAACUACGUG